CAUUCACGGAGAGUUUGAUCCUGGCUCAGGACGAACGCUGGCGGCGUGCUUAACACAUGCAAGUCGAACGAUGAAGCCUUUCGGGGUGGAUUAGUGGCGAACGGGUGAGUAACACGUGGGCAAUCUGCCCUUCACUCUGGGACAAGCCCUGGAAACGGGGUCUAAUACCGGAUAACACUCUGUCCCGCAUGGGACGGGGUUAAAAGCUCCGGCGGUGAAGGAUGAGCCCGCGGCCUAUCAGCUUGUUGGUGGGGUAAUGGCCUACCAAGGCGACGACGGGUAGCCGGCCUGAGAGGGCGACCGGCCACACUGGGACU
This 317-nucleotide ribosomal RNA is filed under the name Streptomyces albus subsp. albus. RNAcentral describes it as "bacterial SSU rRNA". It matches the Rfam family "Bacterial small subunit ribosomal RNA", at positions 1 to 320 of the family's 1533-position model. The record is from RNAcentral. Lineage: Bacteria; Bacillati; Actinomycetota; Actinomycetes; Kitasatosporales; Streptomycetaceae.